ACGGGCUGGCCUACCAUGAAAGUCGAACGGUAACAGGAAGCGCCUUGUUGCUUUGCUGACGAGUGGCGGACGGGUGAUUAAUGUCUGGGAAACUGCCUGAUGGAGGGGGAUAACUACUGGAAACGGUAUCUAAUACCGCAUAAUGUCACAAGACCAAAGAGGGGGACCUUCGGGCCUCUUGCCAUCAGAUGUGCCCAGAUGGGAUUAGCUAGUAGGUGGGGUAACGGCUCACCUACGCGACUAUCCCUAUCUGGUCAGAGAAGAUGACCCCCCACUCUGGAACUGACACGCGGCCCACACUCCUACGGGAGGCAGCUGUGGGGAAUAUUGCACAGUGGGCGCACGCCUGAUGCACCCGUGCCGCGUGUAAGAAAAAGGCCUUCGGUUUGUAAAGUACUUUCCGCGGGGAAGAGGGUGAUGAGGUUAAUACCCUUGUCUAUUGACUUUACCCGCAAAAAAAGCCCCGGCUAACUCCGUGCCAGCCCCCGCGGUAAUACAGAGGGUGCAAGCGUUAAUCAGAAUUACUGGGCAUAAAGCGCACGCAGGCGGUCUGUCAAGUCAGAUGUGAACUCCCCGGGCUCAACCUGGAAACUGCUUUCGAAACUGGCGCGCUAGACUCUUGUAGAGGGGGGUAGAAUUCCGUGUGUAGCGGUGAUGUGCAUAGAUAUCUGGAAGAAUACCGGUGGCGAACGCCCCCCCGUGGACAAACACUGACUCUCGUGUGCGAGAGCGUGGAGAGCACACGAGAUUAUACACUCUGAUACUCCACGCCAUACAAUAUGUCGACUUGGAUGUGUGCUCUUGACGCGUCGUCUUCCAGCAUCUAACGCGUUAAGUCCACCGUCGUGGAGUAGUACCGCCGCCGAUGAUAACUACUCAUAAUGAAGUUCGACGGGCGCCCGCAGCAGCUAGUAGCAUCAUGUUGUUUUUAUGUCGUAUGCAACGAAGAAAGAAACCCUU
This 960-nucleotide ribosomal RNA is filed under the name Enterobacteriaceae bacterium PXS. Its description in RNAcentral is "bacterial SSU rRNA". It matches the Rfam family "Bacterial small subunit ribosomal RNA", at positions 39 to 978 of the family's 1533-position model. Lineage: Bacteria; Pseudomonadati; Pseudomonadota; Gammaproteobacteria; Enterobacterales; Enterobacteriaceae. The record is from RNAcentral.